GAUGAACGCUGGCGGCGUGCCUAAUACAUGCAAGUCGAGCGAACGGACGAGAAGCUUGCUUCUCUGAUGUUAGCGGCGGACGGGUGAGUAACACGUGGAUAACCUACCUAUAAGACUGGGAUAACUUCGGGAAACCGGAGCUAAUACCGGAUAAUAUUUUGAACCGCAUGGUUCAAAAGUGAAAGACGGUCUUGCUGUCACUUAUAGAUGGAUCCGCGCUGCAUUAGCUAGUUGGUAAGGUAACGGCUUACCAAGGCAACGAUGCAUAGCCGACCUGAGGGGGGGACCGGCCACACUGGACCGGAGCCACGACCCAGCCUCCAAGGGAAGGCGCAGGAGGGGAUCUCUCCGAAAGGGGCGAAAGCCUGACGGAGAAACGCGGGGGGAGGGAUGAGGGUCUGCGGAUCGAAAAACUUGUUUAUUGGGGAAAAACUUAUGUGAAAGUAAGUGUGCACUCCUGGCCGGUCCCAAAUCAGAAAGCCCCGGCAACCUCCGUC
Molecule: ribosomal RNA, 497 nt
Filed under: uncultured bacterium
Lineage: Bacteria
Description: partial 16S ribosomal RNA
Rfam family: Bacterial small subunit ribosomal RNA
Source: RNAcentral